RNAcentral lists this non-coding RNA (76 nucleotides) under Pseudomonas tolaasii NCPPB 2192. Lineage: Bacteria; Pseudomonadati; Pseudomonadota; Gammaproteobacteria; Pseudomonadales; Pseudomonadaceae. The record is from RNAcentral.
UGUGAUGAGCGGGCUUGUUGUGGCAAGCCCGCUCGCCACAACAAGCCAGCUCAACACAGCAAGCCCGCUCGCCACA